GCAUAUCAAUAAGCGGAGGAAAAGAAACUAACAAGGAUUCCCCUAGUAGCGGCGAGCGAACCGGGAUGAGCUCAAAUUUGUAAUCUGGCGUCCUCCGGGCGUCCGAGUUGUAAUCUAUAGAAGCGUCUUCCGUGCCGGACCGCGUCCAAGUCCCUUGGAACAGGGCGUCAAAGAGGGUGACAAUCCCGUGCUUGAUGCGACGACCGGUGCACUGUGAUACGCUCUCUACGAGUCGAGUUGUUUGGGAAUGCAGCUCAAAGUGGGUGGUAAAUUCCAUCUAAAGCUAAAUAUUGGCGAGAGACCGAUAGCGAACAAGUACCGUGAGGGAAAGAUGAAAAGCACUUUGGAAAGAGAGUUAAACAGUAUGUGAAAUUGUUGAAAGGGAA
This 386-nucleotide ribosomal RNA is filed under the name Tremella huuskonenii. RNAcentral's name for it is "LSU rRNA". It matches the Rfam family "Eukaryotic large subunit ribosomal RNA", at positions 38 to 418 of the family's 3401-position model. The record is from RNAcentral. Lineage: Eukaryota; Fungi; Basidiomycota; Tremellomycetes; Tremellales; Tremellaceae.